UCAAUAAGUAAUUUAUUCAAGGUAGGAAC
Molecule: non-coding RNA, 29 nt
Filed under: Bombyx mori (domestic silkworm)
Lineage: Eukaryota; Metazoa; Arthropoda; Insecta; Lepidoptera; Bombycidae
Source: RNAcentral